This 768-nucleotide ribosomal RNA is filed under the name Vibrio parahaemolyticus. RNAcentral's name for it is "partial 23S ribosomal RNA". It matches the Rfam family "Bacterial large subunit ribosomal RNA", at positions 2171 to 2925 of the family's 2925-position model. Lineage: Bacteria; Pseudomonadati; Pseudomonadota; Gammaproteobacteria; Vibrionales; Vibrionaceae. The record is from RNAcentral.
CCAGUAUGUGUGGAGCCGUCCUUGAAAUACCACCCUUGUAGUGUUGAUGUUCUAACGUCGACCCCUUAUCGGGGUUGCGGACAGUGCCUGGUGGGUAGUUUGACUGGGGCGGUCUCCUCCCAAAGAGUAACGGAGGAGCACGAAGGUGGGCUAAUCACGGUUGGACAUCGUGAGGUUAGUGCAAUGGCAUAAGCCCGCUUGACUGCGAGAAUGACAAUUCGAGCAGGUGCGAAAGCAGGUCAUAGUGAUCCGGUGGUUCUGAAUGGAAGGGCCAUCGCUCAACGGAUAAAAGGUACUCCGGGGAUAACAGGCUGAUACCGCCCAAGAGUUCAUAUCGACGGCGGUGUUUGGCACCUCGAUGUCGGCUCAUCACAUCCUGGGGCUGAAGUCGGUCCCAAGGGUAUGGCUGUUCGCCAUUUAAAGUGGUACGCGAGCUGGGUUUAGAACGUCGUGAGACAGUUCGGUCCCUAUCUGCCGUGGGCGUUGGAAGAUUGAAGGGGGCUGCUCCUAGUACGAGAGGACCGGAGUGGACGAACCUCUGGUGUUCGGGUUGUGUCGCCAGACGCAUUGCCCGGUAGCUAAGUUCGGAAUCGAUAACCGCUGAAAGCAUCUAAGCGGGAAGCGAGCCCUGAGAUGAGUCUUCCCUGAUACUUUAAGUAUCCUAAAGGGUUGUCGGAGACUACGACGUUGAUAGGUCAGGUGUGUAAGUGCUGUGAGGCAUUGAGCUAACUGAUACUAAUUGCCCGUGAGGCUUAACCAUACAACACC